ACUCCUGCGGGAGGCAGCAGUGGGGAAUAUCGCACAAUGGGCGCAAGCCUGAUGCAGCCAUGCCGCGUGUAUGAAGAAGGCCUUCGGGUUGUAAAGUACUUUCAGCGGGGAGGAAGGCGAUAAGGUUAAUAACCUUGUCGAUUGACGUUACCCGCAGAAGAAGCACCGGCUAACUCCGUGCCAGCAGCCGCGGUAAUACGGAGGGUGCAAGCGUUAAUCGGAAUUACUGGGCGUAAAGCGCACGCAGGCGGUCUGUCAAGUCGGAUGUGAAAUCCCCGGGCUCAACCUGGGAACUGCAUUCGAAACUGGCAGGCUAGAGUCUUGUAGAGGGGGGUAGAAUUCCAGGUGUAGCGGUGAAAUGCGUAGAGAUCUGGAGGAAUACCGGUGGCGAAGGCGGCCCCCUGGACAAAGACUGACGCUCAGGUGCGAAAGCGUGGGGAGCAAACAGGAUUAGAAUCCCCAGUAGUUCCA
This 471-nucleotide ribosomal RNA is filed under the name uncultured organism. Its description in RNAcentral is "partial 16S ribosomal RNA". It matches the Rfam family "Bacterial small subunit ribosomal RNA", at positions 335 to 797 of the family's 1533-position model. The record is from RNAcentral.